AGUCGGAAUUGCUGUAAUCGCAGAUCAGCAUGCUGCGGUGAAUACGUUCCCGGGCCUUGUACACACCGCCCGUCACACCAUGGGAGUCGGUAACACCCGAAGCCUGUAGUCUAACCGCAAGGAGGACGCAGUCGAAGGUGGGAUUGAUGACUGGGGUGAAGUCGUAACAAGGUACC
Molecule: ribosomal RNA, 176 nt
Filed under: uncultured bacterium
Lineage: Bacteria
Description: partial 16S ribosomal RNA
Rfam family: Bacterial small subunit ribosomal RNA
Source: RNAcentral